GCUGGCGUAGCUCAACAGGUAGAGCAGCUGAUUUGUAAUCAGCAGGUUGCGGGUUCAAGUCCCAUCGCCAGCU
Molecule: transfer RNA, 73 nt
Filed under: Syntrophales bacterium
Lineage: Bacteria; Pseudomonadati; Thermodesulfobacteriota; Syntrophia; Syntrophales
Description: tRNA-Thr
Rfam family: tRNA
About the family: Transfer RNA (tRNA) molecules are approximately 80 nucleotides in length. Their secondary structure includes four short double-helical elements and three loops (D, anti-codon, and T loops). Further hydrogen bonds mediate the characteristic L-shaped molecular structure. tRNAs have two regions of fundamental functional importance: the anti-codon, which is responsible for specific mRNA codon recognition, and the 3' end, to which the tRNAs corresponding amino acid is attached (by aminoacyl-tRNA synthetases). tRNAs cope with the degeneracy of the genetic code in two manners: having more than one tRNA (with a specific anti-codon) for a particular amino acid; and 'wobble' base-pairing, i.e. permitting non-standard base-pairing at the 3rd anti-codon position.
Source: RNAcentral